AGUGAACGCUGGCGGCGUGCUUAACACAUGCAAGUCGAACGAGAACGGGUUAUAGCUUGCUAUAAUUGUCAGCUAAGUGGCGCACGGGUGAGUAAUGUAUAGGUAAUAUGCCUCUUACUAAGGGAUAACAAAUGGAAACGUUUGCUAAUACCUUAUACUCCUUAUUAACAUAAGUUAAUAAGGGAAAGAUUUAUUGGUAAGAGAUUAGCCUGUAUUGUAUCAGUUAGUUGGUGGGGAAAUGGCUUACCAAGACUAUGACACAUAACUGGUUUGAGAGGAUGAUCAGUCACACUGGAACUGGGACACGGUCCAGACUCCUACGGGGGGCAGCAGUGGGGAAGAUUGCACAAUGGACGAAAGUCUGAUGCAGCAACGCCGCGUGGAGGAUGACACAUUCGGUGCGUAAACUCCUUUUAUAUGAGAAGAUAAUGAUGGUAUUAUAUGAAUAAGCACCGGCUAACUCCGUGCCAGCCGCCGCCGUAA
This 483-nucleotide ribosomal RNA is filed under the name uncultured bacterium. RNAcentral describes it as "partial 16S ribosomal RNA". It matches the Rfam family "Bacterial small subunit ribosomal RNA", at positions 29 to 523 of the family's 1533-position model. The record is from RNAcentral.